Molecule: ribosomal RNA, 463 nt
Filed under: uncultured bacterium
Lineage: Bacteria
Description: partial 16S ribosomal RNA
Rfam family: Bacterial small subunit ribosomal RNA
Source: RNAcentral
GACGAACGCUGGCGGCACGCCUAACACAUGCAAGUCGAACGGACUUAAAAGAGCUUGCUUUUUUAAGUUAGUGGCGGACGGGUGAGUAACACGUGAGCAACCUGCCUCUGAGAGGGGGAUAGCUUCUGGAAACGGAUGGUAAUACCCCAUAAAAUAUAAAUAUCGCAUGAUAGAUAUAUCAAAGAAAUUCGCUCAGAGAUGGGCUCGCGUCUGAUUAGCUAGUUGGUGAGGUAACGGCUCACCAAGUCGACGAUCAGUAGCCGGACUGAGAGGUUGAACGGCCACAUUGGGACUGAGACACGGCCCAGACUCCUACGGGAGGCAGCAGUGGGGAAUAUUGCACAAUGGAGGGAACUCUGAUGCAGCGAUGCCGCGUGGAGGAAGAAGGUUUUCGGAUUGUAAACUCCUUUUAUCAGGGACGAUAAUGACGGUACCUGAAGAAAAAGCUCCGGCUAACUACGUG